AACGAACGCUGGCGGCAUGCCUAACACAUGCAAGUCGAACGAAGGCUCCGGCCUUAUUUGCGCACGUGUGCGUAACGCGUGGGAAUCUGCCCUUAGGUUCGGUAUACCUGUUAGAAAUGACUGCUAAUACCGGAUGAUGUCGUAAGUCCAAAGAUUUAUGGCGUGAGGAUGAGCCCGCGUAGGAUUAGCUAGUUGGUGUGGUAAAGGCGCACCAAGGCGACGUUCCUUAGCUGGUCUGAGAGGAUGAUCAACCACGCUGGGGCUAAGACACGGCCCAGACUCGUACGGAAUGGAGCAGUGGAGAAUAUUGGAGGAUGGGGGCAGGCCUGGUCCAGCAGUGCCGGGUAAGUGAUGAAGGCGGUAGGGUUGUAAAGCUGUUUUAGCCGUGAUGAUAGUGACAGUAACGGGUGAAUAAGCCCCGGCUAACUACGUG
RNAcentral lists this ribosomal RNA (433 nucleotides) under uncultured bacterium. RNAcentral describes it as "partial 16S ribosomal RNA". It matches the Rfam family "Bacterial small subunit ribosomal RNA", at positions 29 to 507 of the family's 1533-position model. The record is from RNAcentral.